GCAGCUGACCGGAAAUCAGCAGCCACACGCGUCUUCUUCCUCCGGCGUUUCUUGCCGCCAAGCAACCACCGCCUGAUAUCCUCCCCGCGCCCCAUUCUUGUCCGCUUCCCGCCGUGCGUGAGGCCUCCACGCAUCCCCCCUUGGCCGGAUUCUUUUCCUUUCACGGCCCCCUUCCUCCCACCGCCUACGAGAGGAGGGGGAGAGCGCGCGCCGGCUGCCACGCACAUACAGAGUAAAGAAAGUGGCUAUCGUCCAUGGCCCCCGCCGC
Molecule: long non-coding RNA, 268 nt
Filed under: Hordeum vulgare
Lineage: Eukaryota; Viridiplantae; Streptophyta; Magnoliopsida; Poales; Poaceae
Description: long non-coding RNA (HVUL_LNC006653)
Source: RNAcentral